This 729-nucleotide ribosomal RNA is filed under the name Paenibacillus sp. SC3s1.2. RNAcentral's name for it is "bacterial SSU rRNA". It matches the Rfam family "Bacterial small subunit ribosomal RNA", at positions 71 to 784 of the family's 1533-position model. The record is from RNAcentral. Lineage: Bacteria; Bacillati; Bacillota; Bacilli; Caryophanales; Paenibacillaceae.
AUGAGGUGCUUGCACCUCUGAUACUUAGCGGCGGACGGGUGAGUAACACGUGGGUAACCUGCCUAUAAGACUGGGAUAACAUUCGGAAACGAAUGCUAAUACCGGAUACGCGAUUUGGUCGCAUGAUCGAAUCGGGAAAGAUGGAGCAAUCUAUCACUUAUAGAUGGACCCGCGGCGCAUUAGCUAGUUGGUGAGGUAACGGCUCACCAAGGCGACGAUGCGUAGCCGACCUGAGAGGGUGAUCGGCCACACUGGGACUGAGACACGGCCCAGACUCCUACGGGAGGCAGCAGUAGGGAAUCUUCCGCAAUGGACGAAAGUCUGACGGAGCAACGCCGCGUGAGUGAUGAAGGUUUUCGGAUCGUAAAGCUCUGUUGCCAGGGAAGAAUGCUUGGGAGAGUAACUGCUCUCAAGGUGACGGUACCUGAGAAGAAAGCCCCGGCUAACUACGUGCCAGCAGCCGCGGUAAUACGUAGGGGGCAAGCGUUGUCCGGAAUUAUUGGGCGUAAAGCGCGCGCAGGCGGCCUUGUAAGUCUGUUGUUUAAACUUGGGGCUCAACCCCAAGUCGCAAUGGAAACUGCAAAGCUUGAGUACAGAAGAGGAAAGUGGAAUUCCACGUGUAGCGGUGAAAUGCGUAGAGAUGUGGAGGAACACCAGUGGCGAAGGCGACUUUCUGGGCUGUAACUGACGCUGAGGCGCGAAAGCGUGGGGAGCAAACAGGAUUAGAUA